This 148-nucleotide non-coding RNA is filed under the name Gorilla gorilla gorilla (western lowland gorilla). The record is from Rfam by way of RNAcentral. Lineage: Eukaryota; Metazoa; Chordata; Mammalia; Primates; Hominidae.
GCUGGGCGUGAUGGCAUGCGCCUGUGAUCCCAGCUACUGGGGAGGCUGAGGCAGGGGAAUCGCUUGAACCUGGGAGGCAGAGGUUGCAGUGAGCCAAGAUCGUGCCACUGCACUCCAGCCUAGGUGACAGAGCGAGACUCUGUCUCAA